Molecule: long non-coding RNA, 573 nt
Organism: Stylophora pistillata
Lineage: Eukaryota; Metazoa; Cnidaria; Anthozoa; Scleractinia; Pocilloporidae
Source: RefSeq, a predicted model, not a curated record
GUGCCGAAAGGAACUCCGAUUACCUCAAAGAUUCUCUGCCUUACUUGGGCAGAUCUCCUCUUGCCAGAGAAAAACAUGGAAUGGGUUUGUCUAGAAGAUUUGAGUUCAGGUCAAACAAGACUAAGUUUGGCACGACUGGGAGAAGAUCCUGCAAUCUAGGGGUUUAAAAUCAUGUCCGAUGAUAGGGAGAGGUCCAAAGGAAAGAAGAAACGAAGAAAGAGGAAAAAGAAAGAAACAUUACAAAGUGUUACUGAAGACGACCUUGCUAUUCUAUAUUACAGGGAAAUACCCAGCUAUGGGGAAAGGUCUAAGGUCAAGAAGAGAAAAAGAAGACUAAAACUGGAAGGAGAACAAGAAAAAGAAACAUUUUGAAACAGAAUUUAUCAAAAUGUUUUGUCAGCACGUGAUUGGGCUAUAGGCAUCACGUGACCAAAACUGCGAUGACUGAUGAUAUUAACAUUUAAAGUAAACGUUUGGAAAUGGUCCAUUAGUGGAGAGUUUUCAAAAUUUGUUUGAAAAAAAACUGAAAAUCAAAUGAUACUGCCGUAAUUUGUUCUACGUAAAUAAACGAAA